UACAUAGGGGGCAAGCGUUAUCCGGAUUUACUGGGUGUAAAGGGAGCGUAGACGGCGAUGCAAGUCUGAAGUGAAAGGCGGGGGCCCAACCCCCGGACUGCUUUGGAAACUGUAUGGCUGGAGUGCAGGAGAGGUAAGUGGAAUUCCUAGUGUAGCGGUGAAAUGCGUAGAUAUUAGGAGGAACACCAGUGGCGAGGGCGGCUUACUGGACUGUAACUGACGUUGAGGCUCGAAAGCGUGGGGAGCAAACAGG
RNAcentral lists this ribosomal RNA (253 nucleotides) under uncultured bacterium. Its description in RNAcentral is "partial 16S ribosomal RNA". It matches the Rfam family "Bacterial small subunit ribosomal RNA", at positions 524 to 776 of the family's 1533-position model. The record is from RNAcentral.